CCUACGGGAGGCAGCAGUAGGGAAUUUUCGGCAAUGGGGGGAACCCUGACCGAGCAACGCCGCGUGAACGAAGAAGGUAUUCGUGAUGUAAAGUUCUUUUAACAGGGAAGAAAGAGAGAUUUGACGGUAGCUGAAGAGUAUGCUCCGGCUAACUCCGUGCCAGCAGCCGCGGUAAGACGUAGGGAGCGAGCGUUAUCCGGAAUGAUUGGGCGUAAAGGGUGCGUAGAUGGGCUAGUAAGUCUGUGGUAAAAAUGCUGGGCUCAACUCAGUAGGGCAAAUGAUACUGACAAGCUAGAGUGUGACAGAGGCAUGCGGAAUGACAUGUGUAGCGGUAAAAUGCGUAAAUAUA
RNAcentral lists this ribosomal RNA (349 nucleotides) under uncultured bacterium. RNAcentral's name for it is "partial 16S ribosomal RNA". It matches the Rfam family "Bacterial small subunit ribosomal RNA", at positions 338 to 698 of the family's 1533-position model. The record is from RNAcentral.